GUUUUCUGCAUAGCAACUGCCAUGAGUGUCACUCACACAGUGUCUUUGUGCCAGGUCCUGUGUUGGUGUCUAUAACCGUGGAAGGUACUGGCUACGCUGGGAAUAUUUAUCGUGACCUGGUGUCAGCAUUUGAUGUCCUGCAGCAAGGCAACAUCAGUAUUUUGUCCCGGCGUUGUCUCCUUCGUCCCUCGGAGCCUGACAGCACUGGCUACAUAGUCAUUGGCGUCAUGUAUGGCCUAUGCUUCUUCAUCACCCUGUUUGGCAGCUAUGUCAGCCGGCUGCGGCGAGUCAUCUGUGCCUCCUACUACCCAUCCCGGGAGCAGGUGCCCCUGCCUAGGUCCAUUUGUCAGCCACUUUUGGCUGCAUCAGGCCUACUGCCUGGGCUGUGGGCAGCCCCAGGAUGAGGGAGACAUGGAGAACACUGUGUCCUGCAGUACCCCCGGCUGCCAAGGUCUCUACUGCCUCACUUGCUUCCGCCUCCUGGACAAUACCUGCUCCGUGUGUGCAUCUCCCCUCUCCUACCA
This 524-nucleotide small RNA is filed under the name Pan troglodytes (chimpanzee). Its description in RNAcentral is "retained intron". The record is from RNAcentral. Lineage: Eukaryota; Metazoa; Chordata; Mammalia; Primates; Hominidae.